This 245-nucleotide ribosomal RNA is filed under the name uncultured bacterium. RNAcentral describes it as "partial 16S ribosomal RNA". It matches the Rfam family "Bacterial small subunit ribosomal RNA", at positions 528 to 772 of the family's 1533-position model. The record is from RNAcentral.
UAGGGGGCAAGCGUUAUCCGGACUUACUGGGUGUAAAGGGAGCGUAGACGGCAUGACAAGUCUGAAGUGAAAUUCCCGGGCUUAACCUGGGCACUGCUUUGGAAACUGCCAGGCUAGAGUGCUGGAGAGGUAAGCGGAAUUCCUAGUGUAGCGGUGAAAUGCGUAGAUAUUAGGAGGAACACCAGUGGCGAAGGCGGCUUACUGGACAGUCACUGACGUUGAGGCUCGAAAGCGUGGGGAGCAAA